Molecule: unclassified non-coding RNA, 430 nt
Filed under: soil metagenome
Description: partial contains 5.8S ribosomal RNA, internal transcribed spacer 2, and large subunit ribosomal RNA
Rfam family: 5.8S ribosomal RNA (bases 1-120)
Source: RNAcentral
GAUGAAGAACGUAGCGAAAUGCGAUACGUAAUGUGAAUUGCAGAAUUCAGUGAAUCAUCGAAUCUUUGAACGCAUAUUGCGCUCUCUGGUAUUCCGGAGAGCAUGCUUGUUUGAGUAUCAGUAAACACCUCAACUCCCUUUUCUUUUUUGAAAUUGGAGCUGGACUUGAGUGAUCCCAACGCUUUCUUCCAAGAAAGUGGCGGGUUGCUUGAAAUGCAGGUGCAGCCGAACUUUUCUCUGAGCUAUAAGCAUAUCUAUUUAGUCUGCCUAAAAAACAGAUUAUUACCUUUGCUGCAGCUAACAUAAAGGAGACUAGUUCUUGUGCUGACUGAUGCAGGAUUCACAGAGACAGCUUCGGCUGACUUUGUAAACUCGAUCUCAAAUCAAGUAAGACUACCCGCUGAACUUAAGCAUAUCAAUAAGCGGAGGA